AUUGAACGCUGGCGGCAGGCCUAACACAUGCAAGUCGAGCGGAUGGCGGGAGCUUGCUCCUUGAUUCAGCGGCGGACGGGUGAGUAAUGCCUAGGAAUCUGCCUGGUAGUGGGGGACAACGUUUCGAAAGGAACGCUAAUACCGCAUACGUCCUACGGGAGAAAGCAGGGGACCUUCGGGCCUUGCGCUAUCAGAUGAGCCUAGGUCGGAUUAGCUAGUUGGUGGGGUAAUGGCUCACCAAGGCGACGAUCCGUAACUGGUCUGAGAGGAUGAGCAGUCACACUGGAACUGAGACACGGUCCAGACUCCUACGGGAGGCAGCAGUGGGGAAUAUUGGACAAUGAGCGAAAGCCUGAUCCAGCCGUGCCGCGUGUGUGAAGAAGGUCUUCGGAUUGUAAAGCACUUUAAGUUGGGAGGAAGGGCAGUAAGUUAAUACCUUGCUGUUUUGACGUUACCGACAGAAUAAGCACCGGCUAACUCUGUGCCAGCCGCCGCCGUAC
This 500-nucleotide ribosomal RNA is filed under the name uncultured bacterium. RNAcentral describes it as "partial 16S ribosomal RNA". It matches the Rfam family "Bacterial small subunit ribosomal RNA", at positions 30 to 523 of the family's 1533-position model. The record is from RNAcentral.